Long non-coding RNA from Myodes glareolus (Bank vole), 377 nucleotides. RefSeq lists it as uncharacterized. The record is from RefSeq and is a predicted model, not a curated record. NCBI's taxonomy places the organism in Eukaryota, Metazoa, Chordata, Mammalia, Rodentia, Cricetidae.
CACUCUUCUUUGGCUUCCUGAAGCUGGGGGGAUGUGCUUGGUGCCUGGACAAACUUCACUUCGCCUUCGAUGGUGGCCUUCUUGAGCCCUGUCUUACAAAAAUCUAGGGCAUUUCAGAACUUCGAGGAAUGAAGGAAGGCAGCCCAGGGUUGAAGGCUAAGGCAUCAGAAGAUGCUGAAAUUCCCACAGAUCUGUUUAUGAAAUCUAGAAGAGAGGCUCAGAGAGAACAAAGAAGUUGGAGAAGAAAAAAGCUAAAAAUUCCCCUUAAAUGAAGGGUCUCACUGGCUUGGAAAUGCUUUAUGAAUACUGGGCAGAUCCAGCCUCGGAGUGAUCCUUGUUGUGGCCGAUGCUUCCAUCAGGUACAACUGAUUCACAAA